UGGGGAAUUUUCCGCAAUGGGCGAAAGCCUGACGGAGCAAUACCGCGUGCGGGAGGACGCUUUUUGGAGUGUAAACCGCUUUUCUCAAGGAAGAUGAUGACGGUACUUGAGGAAUCAGCAUCGGCUAACUUCG
This 133-nucleotide ribosomal RNA is filed under the name uncultured bacterium. RNAcentral describes it as "partial 16S ribosomal RNA". It matches the Rfam family "Bacterial small subunit ribosomal RNA", at positions 355 to 505 of the family's 1533-position model. The record is from RNAcentral.